CAGCAGCCACGGUAAAACGAAGGGGGCUAGCGUUGUUCGGAAUUACUGGGCGUAAAGCGCACGUAGGCGGAUAUUUAAGUCAGGGGUGAAAUCCCGCAGCUCAACUGCGGAACUGCCUUUGAUACUGGGUAUCUUGAGUAUGGAAGAGGUUAGUGGAAUUGCGAGUGUAGAGGUGAAAUUCGUAGAUAUUCGCAGGAACACCAGUGGCGAAGGCGGCUAACUGGUCCAUAACUGACGCUGAGGUGCGAAAGCGUGGGGAGCAAACAGGAUUAGAUACCCCUGUAGUCCCUGUCUCUUAUAC
Molecule: ribosomal RNA, 301 nt
Filed under: uncultured bacterium
Lineage: Bacteria
Description: partial 16S ribosomal RNA
Rfam family: Bacterial small subunit ribosomal RNA
Source: RNAcentral